UGCAAGUCGUACGCUUCUUUUUCCACCGGAGCUUGCUCCACCGGAAAAAGAGGAGUGGCGAACGGGUGAGUAACACGUGGGUAACCUGCCCAUCAGAAGGGGAUAACACUUGGAAACAGGUGCUAAUACCGUAUAACAAUCGAAACCGCAUGGUUUUGAUUUGAAAGGCGCUUUCGGGUGUCGCUGAUGGAUGGACCCGCGGUGCAUUAGCUAGUUGGUGAGGUAACGGCUCACCAAGGCCACGAUGCAUAGCCGACCUGAGAGGGUGAUCGGCCACAUUGGGACUGAGACACGGCCCAAACUCCUACGGGAGGCAGCAGUAGGGAAUCUUCGGCAAUGGACGAAAGUCUGACCGAGCAACGCCGCGUGAGUGAAGAAGGUUUUCGGAUCGUAAAACUCUGUUGUUAGAGAAGAACAAGGAUGAGAGUAACUGUUCAUCCCUUGACGGUAUCUAACCANAAAGCCACGG
This 469-nucleotide ribosomal RNA is filed under the name Enterococcus durans. Its description in RNAcentral is "bacterial SSU rRNA". It matches the Rfam family "Bacterial small subunit ribosomal RNA", at positions 56 to 496 of the family's 1533-position model. Lineage: Bacteria; Bacillati; Bacillota; Bacilli; Lactobacillales; Enterococcaceae. The record is from RNAcentral.